ACGAACGCUGGCGGCGUGCUUAACACAUGCCAGUCGAACGGAAAGGCCCUGCUUUUGUGGGGUGCUCGAGUGGCGAACGGGUGAGUAACACGUGAGUAACCUGCCCUUGACUUUGGGAUAACUUCAGGAAACUGGGGCUAAUACCGGAUAGGAGCUCCUGCUGCAUGGUGGGGGUUGGAAAGUUUCGGCGGUUUGGGAUGGACUCGCGGCUUAUCAGCUUGUUGGUGGGGUAGUGGCUUACCAAGGCUUUGACGGGUAGCCGGCCUGAGAGGGUGACCGGCCACAUUGGGACUGAGAUACGGCCCAGACUCCUACGGGAGGCAGCAGUGGGGAAUAUUGCACAAUGGGCGGAAGCCUGAUGCAGCAACGCCGCGUGCGGGAUGACGGCCUUCGGGUUGUAAACCGCUUUCGCCUGUGACGAAGCGUGAGUGACGGUAAUGGGUAAAGAAGCACCGGCUAACUACGUG
RNAcentral lists this ribosomal RNA (467 nucleotides) under uncultured bacterium. RNAcentral describes it as "partial 16S ribosomal RNA". It matches the Rfam family "Bacterial small subunit ribosomal RNA", at positions 29 to 507 of the family's 1533-position model. The record is from RNAcentral.